GAAAAUUUAUUACUUGUUAGAAGAGUUUAGUCUAUUUGAGGGUAAGAAAAAGAAUUUUGUAGGUGGUUAAUUAAGUAAAGUUUAAUGAAAUGAGUGGAUAAAGUAGCUAUAGUGCAAAAGUACUGUAAAGGAAAGUAGGGUAUAAUCGGAAAUAGUAGAAGUCAAGAUUCGUACCUUGUGUAUCAGGGAAUUUCUAUAUAAUUCUAUAUUUGUUAGUAGUCCCGAAACAAAAACAGCUAACUUUAUAAAUAAGUCUUUGUUAAAUAUAAGUUUUUAAUAUAAAGUUAAAGAUGAAAUGUCAGACGAUUUUUGUUAUAUCUGGUUUUCUGAGACAAAAAUUCAAUUUUACUUUUGUGAGUAUUAAGCACAAAAAGUAAUUAUAGGAGGGAAUAGCUUCUUAUAACUAGCAGAGUAAAGAGUUGUACCAUUUAUAUUGAUUUUAAAUUAGGCUUAAAAGUAGCUAAAUUUAUAAAGUGUUUUAACUAAUCGAGAAAAUAAAUAUUAUUUAAAGAUAACAACUUUUAUCGGAUAUUAGAAAACCAUCUUCAAUAAAGCCGGUUGGGAUAGAAUGAUUUUAUUAGUAAAAUUUUAAUGUCAAGAAGAGUAAUUAAAUAAUGAUUUUUAUUUAUUAAUAUAAUAAAAUUAUACAGGAACUCGGCAAAUAAUUUCUUCGCCUGUUUAUCAAAAACAUGUCUGUCUGAAGAUAUAGACAGUCUAGCCUGCCCACUGAUAAAUAUUAAAUGGCCGCAGUAUUCUGACUGUGCAAAGGUAGCAUAAUCGUUAGUUUCUUAAUUGGGAUCUUGUAUGAAUGGUUGGAUGAAAGAAAAACUGUCUCUGUAAUUAAAAUCGAAGUUAACUUUUAAGUGAAAAGGCUUAAAUAUAUUAAAGGGACGAUAAGACCCUAUAAAGCUUUACAUAAUCAAAUAUUAAGUUGGAUUAGAGAAUUAUAAAAAUUUAGUGUAAAAAUUAUGUUUCAUUGGGGCGAUGAGAGUAAAAUGAAUAGUAACUGCUUUAACUUAAGCCAUUGAUAGAUGAAUAAAGUGAGAUUUAAUGAUCCUAGAUAAAGAUUUAAAGAUUAAGUUACUUUAGGGAUAACAGCGUCAUUUUUUUUGAGAGUUCUUAUCGAAAAAAAAGUUUGCGACCUCGAUGUUGAAUUAAAAUUUCUUUAUAAUUGUAGGUGUUAUAAGAGAAGGUCUGUUCGACCUUUAAAAUUUUACAUGAUUUGAGUUCAGACCGGCGUGAGCCAGGUCGGUUUCUAUCUUUUAAUACAUUAAUAAACUGCUUUAGUACGAAAGGAUUAAGUAGUUAAAAUUAUUUUUAGAUU
This 1324-nucleotide ribosomal RNA is filed under the name Pachygrapsus fakaravensis. RNAcentral describes it as "16S ribosomal RNA". The stretch from base 579 to 1324 matches the Rfam family "Archaeal large subunit ribosomal RNA", at positions 1423 to 2788 of the family's 2987-position model. Lineage: Eukaryota; Metazoa; Arthropoda; Malacostraca; Decapoda; Grapsidae. The record is from RNAcentral.